CCCUUAGAUGCUCUGGGCCGCACGCGCGCUACACUGGUCGAUGCAACGAGUUUCUUUCCUUGGCCGACAGUCCUGGGCAAUCUUUGAACAUCGAUCGUGAUCGGGAUAGAUUCUUGUAAUUUUUGAUCUUAAACGAGGAAUUCCUAGUAAACGCAAGUCAUCAGCUUGCAUUGAUUACGUCCCUGCCCUUUGUACACACCGCCCGUCGCACCUACCGAUUGAAUGGUCCGGUGAAAUCUCCGGACUGGCGUGAGUCGGAGCAAUCUGACAAACGCCGGAAAGUUGAUUAAACCUUACCAUUUAGAGGAAGGUGAANUCGUAACA
Molecule: ribosomal RNA, 324 nt
Filed under: uncultured eukaryote
Lineage: Eukaryota
Description: partial 18S ribosomal RNA
Rfam family: Eukaryotic small subunit ribosomal RNA
Source: RNAcentral